CUACGCACUCCUAGGGAGGCAGCAGUGGGGAAUAUUGCACAAUGGGCGCAAGCCUGAUGCAGCCAUGCCGCGUGUAUGAAGAAGGCCUUCGGGUUGUAAAGUACUUUCAGCAGUGAGGAAGGUGGAUAUGUUAAUAGCAUAUUCAUUUGACGUUAGCUGCAGAAGAAGCACCCGGCUAACUCCGUGCCAGCAGCCGCGGUAAUACGGAGGGUGCGAGCGUUAAUCGGAAUUACUGGGCGUAAAGCGCAUGCAGGUGGUUUGUUAAGUCAGAUGUGAAAGCCCGGGGCUCAACCUCGGAAUUGCAUUUGAAACUGGCAAACUAGAGUACUGUAGAGGGGGUAGAAUUUCAGGUGUAGCGGUGAAAUGCGUAGAGAUCUGAAGGAAUACCGGUGGCGAAGGCGGCCCCCCUGGACAGAUACUGACACUCAGAUGCGAAAGCGUGGGGAGCAAACAGGAUUAGAUACCCUGGUAG
RNAcentral lists this ribosomal RNA (472 nucleotides) under uncultured bacterium. Its description in RNAcentral is "bacterial SSU rRNA". It matches the Rfam family "Bacterial small subunit ribosomal RNA", at positions 329 to 793 of the family's 1533-position model. The record is from RNAcentral.